AGAAGAGCGUGCCGUGGGAGGCGUGAGAGGACAGGAGGAGCAUAAAGAGGAGGUGGAGGAGGAGGAGGAGGAAGAGGAGGAGACAUGAAAGGAAUGAAAGUAAAAACGUUACUACUUAUUCCCUUUAACCUCAGUAGUAGUAGUAGUAGUAGUAGUAGUAGUAGUAGUAGAAGUCACAGCAGUAAUAGUAGUAGUAGUAGUAAUUGGCGCGCACACACACACACACACACACACACACACACACACACACACACACACACACACACACACACACACACACACACACACACACACACAGGCCGUCACGUACACUGUUGCCUUGAUCAGAAGGGUGGGGAGGACUGGCGAGGCGUGACCCAGCCAGGCCUUCGUGCAUCCAGGCUGUGACUCGUCAUUACCAAGGACAAGUUUGGAAGCUCACAUAUAUAGUUAUUUUUUAUGGUUAAGGAGCAGCCCAGGUAAACACAGCAGUAUGGAGAUCUCUUGGUUAGUGUUCGGUGUUGGUUUAGAAUGUAAGUAAAUCGUUGAAGCCAUGAAGGAAGGGUUUGUAGGAAAGCGCUUCAGUGGGUUUGAGAAUGGAAAUGAAAGGUUAAUUUUGAAGCAGUAUGGAAAUCCCUUGAUAAGUGUUCGGUGUGUAUUUAGAAUGUAAGAAAACUGUUGAAGCCACGCAGGAAUUGUCUGUAGGAAAGCGCUUCAGUGGGUUUGAGAAUGGAAAUGAAAGGUUAAUUUUGAAGCAGUAUGGAAAUCCCUUGAUAAGUGUUCGGUGUGUAUUUAGAAUGUAAGAAAACUGUAGAAGCCAUGCAGGAAGGGUCUGUAGGAAAGCGCUUCAGUGGGUUUGAGAAUGGAAUUGAAAGGUUAAUUUUGAUGUAGUAUGGAAAUCCCUUCGUAAGUGUUCGGUGUUGGUUUAGAACGUAAGGAAACUGUAGAAGCCAUGCUGGAAAGGUCUGUAGGAAAGCGCUUCAGUGGGUUUGAGGAUGAAAAUGAAAAGUUAAUUUUGAUGUAGUAUGGAAAUCCCUUGAUAAGUGUUCGGUGUUGGUUUAGAAUGUAAGAAAACUGUAGAAGCCACGCAGGAAUUGUCUGUAGGAAAGCGCUUCAGUGGGUUUGAGAAUGGAAAUGAAAAGUUAAUUUUGAUGUAGUAUGGAAAUCCCUUGAUAAGUGUUCGGUGUUGGUUUAGAAUGUAAGUAUAUCGUCGAAGCCAUGCAGGAAAGGUCUGUAGGAGGGCUCUUCAGUACGUUUGAUGAUGGACAUGAAAGGUUAGUUUUGAAGCAGUAUGCAAAUCCCUUGGUAAAUAUUCGGUGUUGGUUUAGAAUAAGUGAGACAAUUGUUGAAGCCAUGCAGGAAGGGUCUGUAGGAGAGCUCUUCAGUACGUUUGAUGAUGGAGAUGAAAGGUUAGUUUUGAAGCAGUAUGCAAAUCCCUUGGUAAAUAUCCGGUGUUGGUUUAGAAUGAGUGAGACAGUUGUUGAAGCCAUGCAGGAAGGGUCUGUGGGAAAGCUAUUCGAUGGAUUGGAUGAUGAAGAUUAUAGGCAAAGUUUGACAAGCCGGAUUCGUAGCUAUUAUGGGCACGCUAAUCACUGCACCACGGAGCCGCUAUAUAGAAGGUAGGGAGGUAGAAGAUUCGAGGAAGCCAUUCAGGAAAGCUCUCAAGUAUUGUAUGUCCAGGAGAAAGGAAUGACUGCUGGGAGAAUAUCGGGUGGUUCAGCGCUUAGACAUGCUACUCACUGCACCACGGAGCCGCUAUAUAGAAAGUAGGGAGGUAGAAGAUUCGGGGAAGCCAUUCAGGAAAGCUCUCAAGUAUUGUAUGUCCAGGAGAAAGGAAUGACUGUUGGAAGAAUAUCGGGUGGUUCAGCGCUUAGACAUGCUACUCACUGCACCACGGAGCCGCUAUAUAGAACGUAGGGAGGAAGAAGAUUCGAGGAAGCCAUUCAGGAAAGCUCUCAAGUAUUGUAUGUCCAGGAGAAAGGAAUGACUGUUGGGAGAAUAUCGGGUGGUUCAGCGCUUAGACAUGCUACUCACUGCACCACGGAGCCGCUGUAUAGAAGGUAGGGAGGAAGAAGAUUCGGGGAAGCCAUUCAGGAAAGCUCUCAAGUAUUGUAUGUCCAGGAGAAAGGAAUGACUGUUGGGAGAAUAUCGGGUGGUUCAGCGCUUAGACAUGCUACUCACUGCACCACGGAGCCGCUAUAUAGAAAGUAGGGAGGUACAAGAUUCGGGGAAGCCACUGCUGGGGAGAAUAUCGGGUGGUUCAACGCUUGCGCCAAUAUAUCCUCUCAGUCAUCCCGAAGGCUCCUGGGAACACAUUUUUAAACAAUCAUUUAGGGUAGGCGGUGGCUCAGUGGUAGCGUGCUGGGCCCACAUUCACCGCGAGUUUGAAUCCCCACGCUACCACCUUGGAUUUUUCAGUCACCGCCGAGUGGCUUAAAACUACCCACAUGCUGUUCCGAAGACCAGCCAUCAACCCGGACUCUAGAGGAAACCGUCCAAGUGAAUCAAGGAGUUCCGGGGGGCAGCAUGAGCCAAGAGAAGAUGGCGCCACUAUAAACACUUGCCUGCGCCAUGACGGGGUGGGGCCGACUACCAUCCAG
This is a long non-coding RNA of Eriocheir sinensis (Chinese mitten crab), 2579 nucleotides long. RefSeq lists it as uncharacterized. Lineage: Eukaryota; Metazoa; Arthropoda; Malacostraca; Decapoda; Varunidae. The record is from RefSeq and is a predicted model, not a curated record. The transcript has 3 exons.